UUGAUUGGUCGAAAGACCUUAUCAGAUUCUACCACCUCUGUGAACCGUUGACCUCCGGGUUAAUAAUCAAGCAUCAGUGUAACGAACGUAAGAGUAUCUUAAUUAAACA
This 109-nucleotide unclassified non-coding RNA is filed under the name soil metagenome. RNAcentral's name for it is "partial internal transcribed spacer 1". The record is from RNAcentral.